RNAcentral lists this long non-coding RNA (1937 nucleotides) under Nicotiana tabacum (common tobacco). Its description in RNAcentral is "long non-coding RNA (NTAB_LNC001100)". Lineage: Eukaryota; Viridiplantae; Streptophyta; Magnoliopsida; Solanales; Solanaceae. The record is from RNAcentral.
GGUGUAACUUCUAUUGUUGGAGGUAUUCUACAUAUGAUGUACUUUAUGAUGCCAUUAUUAAGAAUAACAUUUAAUCUAAAUUUUAUAUUACCAAUAUGAUCGUGAAAUAGAGAUAAAUGGUAACCUCUAUAAUGUGAAGUAUGAUGAAGGAAGGUCUAUUGAAUUUUUCACUAUUGUCGAUGCCAGAUAAAUAUUAAAUGGAGAUUUGGACGGUUAUGGCUCUUGUUUGCCAUAUAAUUUUAGGCGUUCAAUAUCUUGGCUCUAGCUUCUUUCAUCCAUGUUUCCUUUUCUGUUAACCUGAGUUUUACCUGAGCAUUUUUCUAUUAUUACUUAUUUUGCAAUAGCCUCAAGCAUUUGAAUUGGCACAUUUACUGGUUUCUCCUCCGCAUGUUCUUUCCCUCUCUGUUUUUCUGUUCUUUUUUUAUAUUUAUUUGAGGUCUUCUGAGUUAGAUUCCAUUACUGAAUCUCUGUUUGUUUGAUGAUUGAGCUACUAAGAGUAGUUCUGUUCCAGUUCCAUAUUGGCACUGAUGUGCUAGCAGACACCAUUUUUGCUUUAUUUUAACUUUCUUAUUUGUAUAUUUCCUAUGCGCUAAUUUCAUUCGAGAAAGAAAGAUUUGAUCGUGUCGGUAUUCAUUCUCCAUUGCGUGCAGGUUGGACAUAUAAAGAGCAACGAAUCUCCACAUUGAUGUGCCAUCAUCUGUUUAUCUAAAAGCACUACGUUGUACUUCUUCUCUUUUUUUUUUUGAAGCACCUAAUUGAGAAUACUAAAACUGACAUCUCAGAAGAUAGGUACAUUCCAAGGAAUGUAAGUGAGAAGGUUAUCAAAAAGGAAUGCGAGUGAGAAAACAUCAUUUAAUUUCUCUGAAGAUGAUGUUCAACUGAGAAGGUUAUCAAAAAGGAAUGCGAGUGAGAAAACAUCAUUUAAUUUCUCUGAAGAUGAUGUUCACCACAUUACUCAAUUUGAUUCCUUGCACAAACUUAACGUGACGUUAAAAUCAACAUGCUUCUUGCUUAGCAUCUGAUUAUCACAGAGAUAUCACUUAUGUUUGGGGCUGAAUUCUCUUUCUAGAAUAUCUCUUACUUUUAGUGAUUGGUGACUGUGCUAACUUCUUUUUGCUUAAUCUUUCUCCCUUCUCCGGGUAAUGGACUUAACUUGAUUGAUAAAGUUGCUCAUUGUUCUUAUUGUUUGCCCUUUUUAUUAGUUUAUACUUCUGUAGGAGACCUCUUGAUUACUUAACAUCCUUAGGGAAUCAUAGAUUUACUAAAGUUGUAAACAUUCUUCAAUCUGCCCAACCAGUUCAAGGUUGUUAAGAUUCUUAAAAUGAAACAACAAUAAUUGAAAUAGUAUUAAGACACAACUGAAUUAUUCUAUUUGUCUGGUUUUAUAAUAUUGUUGAGUUCUUGAUGCUUAUAUGUCUGCAUUAGACUAAUUUGUUUCAUUUGUGUCGCAGUUACUUAUAUAUACUCUUGAUUUGUGAUACAGGAAUUGCUGCCUAGGAAGAUUACUUUGUGGAAGUUAAAGGAUAUAAAUUGCUUAAUAUAGGUGAAAAGUAUAGCUUGAGUCAAAGUCGGGGAUGCGGAUUAUUUGUAUUCUCUCUAAAGAAAUACUUCAAGCUAGAGGUGUAUUCACUUAGAGCUAAUUCGAUACUUGUAUCUUUCAGUGUUUAUUGAUUGGUUUGAAGAUGUAGUUCCUCCUGAAAUAUUGUGCCUGAGCAAAUGUGUGGCAAAUGUCAUUUUGCAUGGCUAUCCUCGGGGUGCAAUUUGAAGAAGGAAGCAACUAUCAUUGUGCUUGUGAAAUACCGAUAAACUUAUUUCACUUAUGUAUUUGUGAAAUCAUAGCUAUUGUAUUAGGUAUUUAUUGUUAUAUAUGUUGUCUAUCGCCAUUUGGCAGUUGUUUACGUGCAUAUAUUUUUGUUAUCUGCCAUUCUUAUCAAAAC